CCUACGGGAGGCAGCAGUGGGGAAUUUUGGACAAUGGGCGAAAGCCUGAUCCAGCAAUGCCGCGUGCAGGAAGAAGGCCUUCGGGUUGUAAACUGCUUUUGUACGGAACGAAACGGUCUGCUUUAAUACAGUGGGCUAAUGACGGUACCGUAAGAAUAAGCACCGGCUAACUACGUGCCAGCAGCCGCGGUAAUACGUAGGGUGCGAGCGUUAAUCGGAAUUACUGGGCGUAAAGCGUGCGCAGGCGGUUAUAUAAGACAGUUGUGAAAUCCCCGGGCUCAACCUGGGAAUUGCAUCUGUGACUGUAUAGCUAGAGUACGGUAGAGGGGGAUGGAAUUCCGCGUGUAGCAGUGAAAUGCGUAGAUAUGCGGAGGAACACCGAUGGCGAAGGCAAUCCCUUGGACCUGUACUGACGCUCAUGCACGAAAGCGUGGGGAGCAAACAGGAUUAGAUACCCUGGUAGUCCACGCCCUAAACGAUGUCAACUGGUUGUGGGUGNNUAUAUACAUACGAGAUACGCGUGAGUGACGCCGNGGAGGACGGCCGGCGAGUUAGUUAACGUACGAAGUUAGUAAGUUAGNGGCGUGAGACGNGCCGACGGACGACGACGAGGGAGGAGG
RNAcentral lists this ribosomal RNA (620 nucleotides) under uncultured bacterium. RNAcentral describes it as "bacterial SSU rRNA". The stretch from base 1 to 532 matches the Rfam family "Bacterial small subunit ribosomal RNA", at positions 338 to 873 of the family's 1533-position model. The record is from RNAcentral.